This 580-nucleotide ribosomal RNA is filed under the name Fuscoporia ferrea. RNAcentral describes it as "partial large subunit ribosomal RNA". It matches the Rfam family "Eukaryotic large subunit ribosomal RNA", at positions 87 to 647 of the family's 3401-position model. Lineage: Eukaryota; Fungi; Basidiomycota; Agaricomycetes; Hymenochaetales; Hymenochaetaceae. The record is from RNAcentral.
CUGCGAGUGAAGCGGGAAAAGCUCAAAUUUAAAAUCUGACGGUUUUACCGUCCGAGUUGUAAUCUGGAGAAGCGUUUUCCGCGUUGGACUGUGUACAAGUCUCUUGGAACAGAGCGUCAUAGAGGGUGAGAAUCCCGUCCAUGCCACAGACUCCCAAUGCUUUGUGAUACGCUCUCGAAGAGUCGAGUUGUUUGGGAAUGCAGCUCAAAAUGGGUGGUAAGCUCCAUCUAAAGCUAAAUAUUGGCGAGAGACCGAUAGCGAACAAGUACCGUGAGGGAAAGAUGAAAAGCACUUUGGAAAGAGAGUUAAACAGUACGUGAAAUUGUUGAAAGGGAAACGCUGGACGUCAGUCGCGUCUUACUGGACUCAGCCUUGCCUCGGCUUGGUGUAUUUCCUGUGAGACGGGUCAACAUCGAUUUCGACCGGUGGACAAGGGGGUAGGGAAUGUGGCACGCCUCGGCGUGUGUUAUAGCCCUGCCUCGUAUGCAUCGGUGGGGAUCGAGGCCCGCAGCGCGCCUUUUUGGCCGGAGGUUCGCCUCACGUAUCGCGCUUAGGAUGUUGGCAUAAUGGCGUUCAGCGA